UCAUUUAUCCUUGAGCAGCACUCUACACACACAGACAGACACACAAACACACUACCGUAUACCUCGCUUGCGCAUGCACACCGAGCCACCGACUUUGUUUAGCUUUGGCCUCAAUAAGUUCUGCGCUGUUUUCUUUUUGAUCGAGAGACCACUGUGGCCUGAUCUGCCGCUGAACUGCAUCUGUACAGUAUAUAUACAACCAGGGAAAUUUUCAAGCAUGUGAUUAAAUAAAUACUUACGUUUAACUUGAUCCUUACAGAAGUUUUUAACCAGCUGACUCUUUACCAGCUGAUUAUGUUCUGACAAGGUAAAAAACGAAAGUAUGGUUAAUAAUUAUAGCACACCUCUCGUGUGGUAAAAAAUCAUCUUGAAGGCAUCGUAAGCGGCUGUAGAUGAUGUACAGAUGUACAUAAACUGCUGUCUGGUGACCCUGGCUUUCUGCUUGUGACCAUCGCUUCCAGAUGAAAGGUAGACUUGUUCCUCCAUGUGUUUUUGCUGUGCUAGAACUGUCUUUAGCAUUCUAGCAUUCCUUGUUGUUGUUGUAGGAGUGAUAUUAUAUCAGUCUGUGGCCGGGUCUGCCUAUUUGGCGUCCAGUAGUUUCACUAACAGGGGAAAACCACUGGCAGGGGAAAACCACUAGCAGGAGGUGUGGGUGUCCAAUUGGUCGUCUUCUUUCAUUUGGACCAUAAGCAGAUAAGAGGCCUAACUCAGUCGAAUCAGUUAUCAAAACCAUCUUCAUUGUCAAUGUCACUGUCGAGAUGAAGAAGAAGACGUCAAAAAAACCCUGGCGUGGCAUGUAAUGUAAUGUUGUGAUUCUGAACGUGCAGCAUUGGCUUGAUAUCUCCCUUGGUUGUUCUCUGACGUCUUCUUGGUGUAACACCACUGCAUAACACCACUGCAUAUGCAUCUACGUCUACUGCAGCACCACCAGCUCCUGAUCCUCGACCUCCAGACAUUUUGUGUGAAAAAGUUUGGCGCCUUUUAUGACCUUUGUAGCUGCACCCUGCAAGACCAAUUAUCCAUGCCAGGCCCCACCCUAUUUCCAAUUAUAACAAGCCGUAAGUGCAAUCAAGAACCUCUGCAAUACUCUUAGCAAUAUUUUGAUCAGGAUACUAAACGUUGAUGAGUUUUAGAUGCUGCUGUGUUCUUCGCUGAAGAAAGUAAGCAGUAGCUUUUAGCUGAUACACAGUUGUUGUUCAUACAUAGCUAGCUAUAGUUUCUCUAUGGACAUGGACGAUGAUGACUCUGAUUCUCCAGAUCCUGUUGACCCAGUGUGACCCAAAUGAAGCUGAUGAACAUGCUCAUGCUCUGAGUGGUAAUGAGGCAUCGUAUAAGUAAUUCUUGGGAAAUGAAUAGCGAUGAAUUGAAGAUGAAGAGUUAGAGCAUCAAGAACCUCGAUUGAACGGCACAGCUCUCACAGCAAAAGCGCUAGUCAUAAACGGGCAACGUGCACGCACAUUCAGUUCAAAGUGCAAGAACACUGAAGAUCAAGAAUGGAUGUAAAUAAUGAAACACAAGCUACAAGACAAAGACUAAUAAAAAUAAGACUAUCACAAGUUAUAAGUUCAUUACUCUGUCUUCCAAGAUUGUUUGUGGUGUAUACUGUUGUUACUGCCUCAUGAGAUCUUAAUAAAGUAUCUUUACAAAGCUGGAGUGCGACUGUCCAUUUCUUCAGAGUCAAGGUAUCGAAGAAUAAUGUCUUACGCAUAAUUAGUGUGGUUGCUCUUGUAAGACUGUCGGAGUCAAGGUAUCUACAAAUCGGAAGAA
Halichondria panicea is the source of this 1767-nucleotide long non-coding RNA. RefSeq lists it as uncharacterized. The transcript is spliced from 4 exons. Lineage: Eukaryota; Metazoa; Porifera; Demospongiae; Suberitida; Halichondriidae. The record is from RefSeq and is a predicted model, not a curated record.